RNAcentral lists this ribosomal RNA (433 nucleotides) under uncultured bacterium. RNAcentral's name for it is "partial 16S ribosomal RNA". It matches the Rfam family "Bacterial small subunit ribosomal RNA", at positions 29 to 507 of the family's 1533-position model. The record is from RNAcentral.
AACGAACGCUGGCGGCAUGCCUAACACAUGCAAGUCGAACGAGACCUUCGGGUCUAGUGGCGCACGGGUGCGUAACGCGUGGGAACCUGCCCUUAGGUUCGGAAUAACUCCCCGAAAGGGGUGCUAAUACCGGAUAAUGUCUUCGGACCAAAGAUUUAUCGCCUUUGGAUGGGCCCGCGUUGGAUUAGCUAGUUGGUAGGGUAAAAGCCUGCCAAGGCGACGAUCCAUAGCUGGUCUGAGAGGAUGAUCAGCCACACUGGGACUGAGACACGGCCCAGACUCCUACGGGAGGCAGCAGUGGGGAAUAUUGUACAAUGGGCGAAAGCCUGAUCCAGCAAUGCCGCGUGAGUGAUGAAGGCCUUAGGGUUGUAAAGCUCUUUUACCCGGGAUGAUAAUGACAGUACCGGGAGAAUAAGCUCCGGCUAACUCCGUG